GUUUUGGGGGUCACAAACGCGAUCUUCUCUCUUCGUUUUAGUUUCGCCUCUGCGUUCUUGGGUGAUCCGCUUAAUUAUGAUACUAUGUUUGGCUCUUUGGGUGAUUGACGCGAGCAUUCUCUCUCUGUUUCUCUCUUCGUUGUAGGCUGUCGUCUGCGCAUCUGGAGAUUCUUGGGUGUGUGGCUGAUUUGGGUGAAGAGAAGGAGGGUGAUUUUGGAGGAAACGGGAGAGGAGUUUCUACAUGAGUGAAGGGAAGGAGAGGGAUGAUGAGGUAUUAGGGUGAUUAGCGUGAUCUUCUAUGUUUCUUUCUGUGUUCAUUCUUGGGUGGUCUUUUCGGAUCUACAGAUUCUUCCGUGUGUGAUUGAUUUGGGGUAGGAGAGGCAGUGUGUUUGUGGACGAAAUGAAAGAAGAAUUGACAGUGAAAGAUUAACGGGCUGGAUCAUAUCUUUUUGGGGAUAGAGAUAUUCUUUGGAGGCUCUACAAAGAAUACGCCUUUAGAGGAGAGGAAUCCUUCUUGCUUGAAAGAAGGAGAAGGAAGAAGAGAGAAGCUUUUGUUUGCUUGAAAGAAAAGAAGUGGAAGGGAUUUGAACAAACAAAAACGAGAAGUGGUGGUAUUGCUCUGUUCUCUGAUUUUUGGAUUGUUGUUCUUUGCUUCCUUGAUGCAGUUGCCUUUCUCUUGAGGGUCUGUUAGCAGAAUAUCAGAAGAGAUCAGAAACGAGAACUUCUCCCUCUUGCCACCUAUCCUAUCUUUCAAGAUCAGGCUUGAAGUUUUAAAGUAGCUCAACUUCCCAGGUGUCCGCUUCCAGCUGCAUUCAUGAAAUAUGUAGAAACUUCUGUGCAAUUUUCUGAACAAGAAAUCUGACAUUCAUGAAAUAGGUUGCAUAUAGCUUGCUGCACCAGAACCUUAGAAGCAAGCAUUGCAGAUUAGCAUACAGAGAGCUUGAACAACAACUUCAAUUUCAGAUAUUACUUUGUAAGUUUGAUGGAUGAAUUUGAAUUGAAGAUCCAAACAGUGAAGCCACAGUCAAGCUUAAAGGAAAACCAGCUGAACAGUUGUUUGGAAUAACUUGCAGAGAACUCAUAGACAAGUACCCUUAUGCUCCACAGGAAACAUUGCCACAAGAAAUAUUGCAAACAAAAAGGCAAAUUCACAUUUUCCAAAUCCAAAUCAGUGAGGCAAAUGACUUCAUAGUGAAAGGUGUCUUUCCAAGCACAAAGAAUCAACCAAGUGCCAGCACACCAGCUCAUCCACUUUAUGACAAAAAAAGAUCCGUCGAUAAAGGAAGAAGACAACUAUUUGCUGCCAAUCCAGACAAAAAGCUCCGCAGGGAAGGAAGUACUGAAUCAGCAACAUCAUCCACAAACACUAUGAACAAGGAAAAAAUGGAGUGAACUAUCAUGUCACUUUUUGUGUAAAUAGAAAUGGAGGCAACAACUUUUUGGACAACCUCCACAGCUAAUCAUCACUAGGCUAACAAGCUCUCAGUAACUGAUGUCACUUUUGAUAUAGUCACUAGGUUAGCCUAUAAGUAGAUCACUGUAUUUUGGAGAAGCUGUUUUAACAGCAUUUGUAAUAUAUAUUUCAACAUUACCAAAACACCUAUAUUAAUGGUAAUGUUAGCUCCUGAUAUGAAGCAUGAAUCAAUGUAUUUUUGAGAAGCUGUUUUAUAUA
Molecule: long non-coding RNA, 1672 nt
Organism: Rosa chinensis
Lineage: Eukaryota; Viridiplantae; Streptophyta; Magnoliopsida; Rosales; Rosaceae
Exons: 12
Source: RefSeq, a predicted model, not a curated record